RNAcentral lists this ribosomal RNA (637 nucleotides) under Salmonella enterica subsp. enterica serovar Typhi. RNAcentral describes it as "partial 23S ribosomal RNA". It matches the Rfam family "Bacterial large subunit ribosomal RNA", at positions 827 to 1469 of the family's 2925-position model. The record is from RNAcentral. Lineage: Bacteria; Pseudomonadati; Pseudomonadota; Gammaproteobacteria; Enterobacterales; Enterobacteriaceae.
GGCCAAUCAAACCUGGAGAUAGCUGGUUCUCCCCGAAAGCUAUUUAGGUAGCGCCUCGGACGAAUACUACUGGGGGUAGAGCACUGUUAAGGCUAGGGGGUCAUCCCGACUUACCAACCCUUUGCAAACUCCGAAUACCAGUAAGUACUAUCCGGGAGACACACGGCGGGUGCUAACGUCCGUCGUGGAGAGGGAAACAACCCAGACCGCCAGCUAAGGUCCCAAAUUACUACUAAGUGGGAAACGAUGUGGGAAGGCUCAGACAGCCAGGAUGUUGGCUUAGAAGCAGCCAUCAUUUAAAGAAAGCGUAAUAGCUCACUGGUCGAGUCGGCCUGCGCGGAAGAUGUAACGGGGCUAAGUAGUAAACCGAAGCUGCGGCAAUGUGCUUUUGCACAUUGGGUAGGGGAGCGUUCUGUAAGCGGUUGAAGGUGUGUGGUAACGCAUGCUGGACGUAUCAGAAGUGCGAAUGCUGACAUGAGUAACGAUAAAGGGGGUGAAAAACCUCCUCGCCGGAAGACCAAGGGUUCCUGUCCAACGUUAAUCGGGGCAGGGUAAGUCGACCCCUAAGGCGAGGCCGAAAGGCGUAGUCGAUGGGAAACGGGUUAAUAUUCCCGUACUUCUUACAAUUGCGAUGGGG